Molecule: long non-coding RNA, 1242 nt
Organism: Myotis davidii
Lineage: Eukaryota; Metazoa; Chordata; Mammalia; Chiroptera; Vespertilionidae
Exons: 3
Source: RefSeq, a predicted model, not a curated record
CAAAUCUAAAACUGAAAAUAUCUUGCAGUUACGAAGCAAAGAAGAUGCCUACCCUCUCUUCAAUAAAAUUAUGAACCAUCAAAGGUUUCAAAACAUUCAAAUAUUGCAUUGAUGAUGUACAUGCAAAAUAAAGACCCAAAAGAAAUGAUAAGCUAGAACUUACUAGGGAAGUAUUUGAUAUCUCAAAUCAGUAUUUACAAGAUAAAUAUGUUCCAGGUUCACAUGUGACAGUCGAUGAGAAGUUACUUUUAGUUUUUAGAAGCAUAUUGUUCACUCAUUGAUUGUGGAGUUGGAGAAAAUUUGUUUUGGAUAUCUUAUCUGAAGACAGUGACAUUUCCCAAAUUUCCUUUGUCAUUAGAGUCUGAAGUGCUUGCUAUCCAUCUUUGCCUUGGUCUUCAGGUUCAUCUAAUAAUUGUGAAAUGUCUCCUUUGUCAAUUUUCUUUUGUCCUAUUAUGGGUAGGAAAUAAAAAGUUCUGAGUUUUUAACUGUAUUCAUUGAAAACUAAAAGCAUAUGAAGAGGAUCAGGAUAUGCCAUCCAAUUAUGUGCCACUUUGACAUAAAGAUUAGUUUGAACAGAAGGCAGUUGAGACUCAACAGAUAGAGUUUUUUUGCCCUCCCAUUGUCUGCCUAAAGUAGAGCAUACAUUUCCUUUUGUGUCAUACCCUUUUCCGCAUACCAGGAAGGAAAGAGAAACUCUUACCUUCUGAGAUGCAGAGUUGAUACUGAGAUGAGUUUGCAUAAACAGACCUAACUAAAAUAACCCUUAUCUUUCAUUAUAGUUCAUUAUUUUUUACAUAUUUCCUAGUUAGAACUUCCCUAUGAUUUGUCUCUCAAAGCUCAAAUCCUCUUUCCUUUAAAAUGGUAUAUAAGCCCCUGAGCCUAACUGCUUCUUUGAGUUUUACCCCUCUUGAGUGAACUCUGAGGUAUGUAAACAUUAAUAAAAAUUAUGUGCUUUUUCUGUCUUUUGUUAGUUCAAGUUGAAGAUCCCCAGCUACUGCAACCUAAAAGGGUUGAAGUAAAGUUUUUCCUCCCAACACAGACCACAAAGAUGAUGUCUUCAGUCUUCUAUACCUUUCAUUUUUUUGAAAGAAAAUCUGAUUGAGCUCACUAAUUUGGAGGAUUGUUUUGCCUAUAGUGGAGGAAAAAAACCCUUUCCUUUAUCCUUAGGUUAAGUGCUUAGGACCUGCAAAUUAACAGAAGAAAAAAUUCCACAUAUAAUUGAGAUCAUGUGAUACUUGUCUC